RNAcentral lists this long non-coding RNA (5228 nucleotides) under Capsicum annuum. Its description in RNAcentral is "long non-coding RNA (CANN_LNC006042)". Lineage: Eukaryota; Viridiplantae; Streptophyta; Magnoliopsida; Solanales; Solanaceae. The record is from RNAcentral.
ACAAGGCUCCACCCUGCUUAGAAAAGGCUACAGGCAAGGCUCCGCCCUGGCCAUUCCCGUGGUCCAAUAAUUUUUAGUCUUCUUCUGUUUUAAGACGAGAUUUAAGAUUCAAUUGAUCAGUAUAGUACCAUUCAUCAGUUUUCUCUCCAGAAACCAACACACUGCCUCCAACCAAAAACUUAGAUCUACCAAAAUUCAACCGUUAAAUUCUAAAAAUAAUUUAAGAAUCAGAAUCCCCAGAGCGAGAUCUUCAAGGAGCACCUAUCACUUUUACGAAUAGAGAGCCGAAAUCAAAAGUUCAUUCAUAUUCACAAAUUUGAGGUAUGUGGGGUUUGAACAAGAACAAUCCUUCCGUUUUUGUGCCCAAAAGUUAUGUUCAAAUUAUCUUGUUUGAAGAUUAUGAGUUUAUGAGUUAUUCAAGUUGUGGAUUUCAUGAUAUUUCUACUUAUUAUGCUUUGAUCUAAAAGUUUAUAUUGUGAUUUGCACGCUUCUUUACGAGUUAAUAUUGUUAAAUAAAUUUCAAGAAUGAUAUUGAGUAUGAAUUAUUAUUUUGAGUUGAUAUGAGACAAGUAUUGAAUUUUGAGACUAUAUUCUUGGAAGAUUGAACUAUUAUAUUUAUAUCAAGAUUUAAGUUGGAUUUUUGAUGAUGCUAUAAUUUCGAGUCUUCCUUUAACAAAUUGCUUACCGAGAUUUGAAUUGAGGUUUAUAUUGUGAGCUUUGAGUUGAAAUAGGAAUUCACAAUUUCAUAUGAUUUAAAUUAAGAGAAAUUUGAUUUGGUCUUCGUUACAGACCCUUAAGUUAUUUUGAAGUGGAUUUCCUAAGAGUUUUGAGUCUGAGUAUGGAAGUAAUAUUUAGCACCGAGCGGGAAGUGUGGGUUUAGCACGUCCUACUUCCCCAGAACUACGUGCCAUCGUAGGAUUGCGAUUUAUGGGCCUAAGGAUGAGUUUGUGAUCACUGAGUUGAGGUUAUACUCCCUGACAAUAGUAUAACUCUCCUCCCCAAUGUGGGCUUCUUCCUUAGGAGGAAAAAACGUGGAUUCCAUGUGGCUCACAUGGUUUAUGUCGGUUAGAAGAAACUCCCAAAACAGUCCCCUACUCUAAUUAAGCUAAAAGUGUAUAUGUUGAAAGUUUGAUUUUUGAGAUUUCCAAAGUUUCCCAAUUCCAAUUCCUAAGUUUAUAAGGUUUCAAGUCCUUUAAUUUUAAAGAAGUUCUAUUCUCCUUGAUAAAGAUGUAUGAGUUUUGAAAACAUUGUUUAUAAAUUUCUUUAAUUUAUGAGUUUUGAGAAUAAAUGGAGAAAUUCAGAUUUUUGAGUUAAGUAUAAUGAUUCACGAGAUUUACGAUACAUGUUCAUUAUUCAUGAUUUAUGUUGCCUAUAUUUCAGUGAUUCUGAGCGUCUUCAUCUACAUUUCUGUAGUGGUGAGUCCUCAUGGCUCGAGGACCUAAUCUCCUGAUGUUGAGUAUUACCAGCAGUUGUAUUUAUUUUCUUUCAUUUGAGUAUGAGUCCGUCGCCAUUGGCUCCUUAUUCUUGAGUUGUAAAAGCUCUGUCAGACUAGAUUAUCAGUUGUAUUAUCGUACUUUUUCUGUAUCUUGUAAUCUGGACAUUAUAUUUACAAUGUGGAUUGACGAGAUUUAAUUCUAAUUAUCUGAUUUAAAUUCCUAAAAUGAGUAUUGAAUGCAGUAGGCUCAAAGGGUUGACUUAGGAUUACUUGUAACCUUAAGCACCAUGUGACGUGUCGAAAUGAAAUUUCGGGACGUUACAAAUUAUUCCGAUGAAAAGAUGCCUUUAAACUCAUAAUUUUAUACAAAUUUUAAUUAGGCACACGCUAAAUUCGACUUUUUAAAAUCUUUUUUUAAAAAAAUAAAAAAUUGGGCCCCUCAGCCCCAAUCCCUCCCCAAUUAUAAAAUAAGACAAUUUUUAUUGAAUAGUGUGGUUUGUUCUUGCUAGGGUUUGUUCAAAACGAUCCAUUUCAGGUUUAGUCAUUCUUGCUAGGGUUUGCUUGAAGACGAACGUGCGUUAUGGCUUUCCGUUUCGGAGGGUUCGUUUGUUUAUCCCUAAUUUCCUCUCAUAAUUUAUCCACCAUUUUUAUCGAAUUGAUUUCUCGUCUCAUGUUUUUUUCUUUAUGGUUUGAGUAGAAGACUUUGGGCUGCUGGUGCUCAUCGGGAAUUGCUUCGAGCUAUACAGACAGAUAUUAGGUUUAUAAAAAUCUGCCAAUUUUCCUUUCUAGCAGAAAUUUACCCCGUUCUUUUUUAGUUUUGAUUUUUGAUUUUAGUUUUUUCAGGGAAUAUUGCCAGCAAGUUCCAGCUCAUCGUGGUGAAUUUCUCGUCCAAAUUAUUUAAUUCUCGCUACAAAUUUCUGUUGUUACCGAUGAUUUUGGUCCUUGCAGUUAUAUUUUUUGCUGCCGGAGGAGCAUCAUCUUUUGCUUUCUGCCACGCUGUGUAUGUUCCUCAUUUAAACCAGAAAAUAUUGUUUCCUUUUUUUAAGCUUACUAAAUCAGUUCUCUUUGCUUUAAAAUGCCCUGUAUAAUGGUAGGAUAUAUUGUCUCUUUUCUUUUGAUUAAAAAGAAUCAAUCUUUUUAUCUUAGAAUAAUCCCUUUUAGUGUUUACUCAACUUGUUAUAUGAUUAAGUGGUAUUGGAGUCCCCGAGUUUAAUCUUGAUUUCUGCCUUGUAAUGAUCUCCUCUAUUUGCAGAAAUCUUUUAUUUCCUCUUAUGCUUAUUUCCGAAUUAAUUUUGGCAGGCUAGGCUCCAUGGUGAGGAAAGACAGGGAACGGUAAGUUGUACCACCUUGGUUGUUAUUUUCCUUCUUUUAUUGUUUUUUUGAGCGUGCAAACUGUCUCUUUUGCUUAACUUACCACACUUAUUGAUCCUAGUACAUGCUAAUUUAUUCUGCCGGUCAACAAGUAGUCCCUUUGUUCGCUUACUAUCUAUCGGUGGUAUCUCGUGGGUCCUUUAUUUAGCGGUCAACUGUAAAAUAUUAUUGCCACAAACCAGAAAAAAGUUUUGAGUACACCCAAAGACAAGAAUCAAUAAGACUAACACAAGAGCACCCAACUCCCUUAGCACCUUUUAGGAAGGGUGCAGUGAGAUUAGGUCUCAAGAAUAAGUACAAAUAUGCUCAAUUAAGUACUACAUUUUCUAGUUUGUUUAGACUCGCUAAACAUUGACACUCUUUCUCGAACAAUGAAUUGAAUCAGCUACAGUAUAAACUUUGUUGUACAGAGUGUGCUACCUGAAUAUUUUUUCAAUUCCUAGUUCGCCAGAUAAAGUAUAUCACUGCUCCAUAAAUUGCAAGCUACAGUAUCCUUUUUGAAUCUGCUCCGAUGUCUCGGUUUGAUCCACUGCAAGCUCUCCAUUGUCUCAGUUUGUGGUAGCAAAAAUCCCAACCAGGCAGUCACCUCUAUCCAAAUUGCAGAUGCUCAUUCAAAUGACACAAAUGGAUGACUGGAGUCUUCAAUAUAUUGCUGUACACAAACAACGCAGAAAGCAUUCGCACAAUGCACCUCCAUAUUCAUCAACCUACCCUUUGUUAGUAGCUUCUUGUGAGCUGAUAUCCAUAGUAUGAAUCUAUGUUUAGACUGUACUACCUUAGAGCAGAUAAGAUCCAGGCUCUAACAUGGUCAGAUAGCUCUUUGAGAUAGAGUACUAUCUCAGGGUCCAAAAUUAAUGGUGCUAGAUUAAGCUUGAGCUGAGCUGCCUGUGUUGGUAUCGGCAUUGCCUGAAUAACCUUCACCAGCAUCUUCUUGUCAAAGUUUUCUUUUUGGAAAAAAAUUCGUUCUUUUCUUUCCAGUAGAGGUCUUACCCAUCCUAUAGAUCUACCUCUCUGCUUGGCAUUUCCAAGUUGUCUUUUCUCACCUCUCUUAGAUUAUAGUCUUUAUAUACCAUUCUCAUGCUUCUCUCUUUUCCUGUUCAUCUCGUAUUUCUUUUCCACUUGUUACUGCCUUGACCUGAGGUUGUUGGCUUGGCUGGACACUUUGACAGGCCCCAACCUGCUUGUCUGAUUAUCUUUUUUCUACACUUUAAGGACGACACUUCUCAUUGUACCCUGCAUAAAGUGGAUGUUUGUUGAGUGCAUACAACAAAACAAAAGUCAACUAUGCUACAAUUUAGUUGAAACAACUAGCACGCCUCAGUCCCAAACAUAUGGGUUGGCUGUAGGAGCAUUCACUAACUUUUUUACUCCAAUUAAAUUGGAUGAUUUGCAUAAAUAUGAUCAUAUAGUGUCACUUUUUAAGUUUUGGCUCCAUUAAAAGAAGUUUAAUAGAAUUGAUCUCGCUAGAAAAGUCCAAAAAUCACAUUGGGUUGGCAGAUCCUCAUGAAUAGCCGUCAUAAAAUUCAUCAGAUUCACAGCUCAGCUCUGGAUGAUGGUUUUUUUUUUUUUUUUUUUUUUUUUUUUUUUAUUUAUUUAUUAAAGUUCAUUUUGCAUAACUUUUUAUAAUGGCACCUAAGCUUAACUAUCAUACGAAGGCUUCCUCGCGCCAAUUCCUGAAUUAAAUUCAUCUCCUUUCAACAUUACAUGAAAAAGGUGUUAUAAUUUCUCUACUGGCGGACGAAUCUAGGAGUUGUAUCUUUCAAUACGGAAGACAUGACUGUUGCUUUUAUGGAAUUCAGUAUUCGUGUGUAGGAGGACAGAGAUUUUUGAUAAGUUUUUGGUUUGAUAUCGACUUAUGUUUUGCAGCUUGUGAUUGAUGCAAUUGUUUUCGUUGUGCUUAAGAAAUGCACAUUUAAUUAUAUGUCAAUAUCUUAUGUAUCAGUUAAGAAGGUUAUUAUGCCUUGACAUCUAUAUUUCACUCUUAUUAUUGUCAUGCUAGUUUCAAGAAUCUAAUUCACUUUACUAUUUUCUUCGUCAGUGCUCGUGCUUUUUGCGAGGCGUGGAACAUUCCAACAAAUUGAGGAGCUGUUAAUUGUGUGGAGGUAUUUACGUGGAUGCAGACUUAAUUUUUAGGUCUCUAUUAAUAUAUAUAUAUACCUCCCACAUGUAUUUACGUGGAUGCUUAUAUUUUGGCUUGGCUCGACACUUUGACGGGCCCUAACCUGCUUGUCUAAUUAUCUUCCCCUAUACAUAUUAAGGAUUGUUUUCUUCUUCUUUUGUAUUUGGAAACAAGUACUUAUUGCACCCUCUGCUUAAAGUGAAUGUUAUUUAGUUCAAUACGACAAAACAAAAGCAAAGGGCGUCCUCAAGAUAUGUUUUGUUUUCAUAUAUAGCUAUACCAAUUACAAAUUCAUAUUUGCUC